GGCCUUGGAGAACUGUCGAAGAGAAGGGUUGGUGGAGAGUCGCCCCCGAGCCUGGUGGGCAGUUGAGUUCCAGCCAGAGCAGAGCUCAUCCAGGUGGGGGGACUUGGGGGGGGGGCAGGGCUAGAGAAGGGAGCCCCCCGCCACGUCAUCAGGGUAAGGACAAGGCUGAAGGAAGGAAAGGCUUGAGGCUGACACCUGGGAGGUGGGAGACCCAGGCUGACUGACAGAGGCUGCCCAGAGUGACCUCUGGGUCUGUUAGGGUGUAGGUACAGGACCAGGAGCUGCAGACCUUGGGAAGCACUUCCUAAGGUCAGGACCACAAGGAUGUCAGAUCAUCUAGUUAUCGGGCUAGUUAUUUAACCCCUCUGUGCCUCGGUUUCUUCCCCAUUGUAAAAUGGGGAUAAUAAUAGGACCUACUUUAUACUGUUGGGGGGGUGUUAAAUGAGUUAGUGAUGCAGAGUGCUAGCUAGCUGCCUGCCUGGCACUAUUACUGAGAGCUACCAUCUCUAAUUCAACCUACUGAAAACCCUCUAAGAAAGCCCUCACUACUCUUAAGUGUGCUCCCUGGACCAGCGGCAUGGGUGUUUCCCGGGAGCUGGUUAGAAAGGCUGAAUCUCAGGCUCCACCCCCGACCUCCUGAAUGAGGACCCACAACUCAAUAAGACUCCCACAGUUGGGGUCCAGAGGCGUGUCAGAGUGCAAAGCAGGAAGAGGCAGAGCAACCGAGAGCAAAGCUAGGCUCCGGAGUCAGGCUUCUAACCCAGCUCUGUCUGUCACAGCUGGGCAACCCUGGGCAAGUUACUUAACGUCUGUGGAUCUCAGUGCACGUAUCUGUGGAAUGGGAUAAUAGCCUUUCAACAAACCCAGAAGCUCCUGAGGAGGGAGAGCCAAGUGCUGGUCAGACCAGUGCCAGGACGAGCGUCAGGAAUGCUGGGACUCACCACGUCCUCCACCCUCCUUGCCAAUCGCAGGACACUGAGCCUUCCUUUGGAAGAGGGUACACCCUGGGUCUCAAAUUCUAAGGGUGGCAAAGAUUGUGAGAUCCUUCUAGACCGGAAAUGUCAUGCUGCAUAUUGGAAGGUUUCCAACACAUGGCCUCUGGCUUGGAUUUAUUUUUAUUACCAUCAGGUAAUGCUCAUAAGCUCUUAACAUGGUAUCUUGCAUGCAGUAUACCUUUGAUGUGUAUUAGCUAUUUACCUCUGCGUUUCUGCUUCUAUUGGAGAUGCUUCUAUCAGCCUAUAUACGUUCAGGUCUGACUUCUCGCCUGUAGCAGAUGCCCCUGGAGCCCGCCACCCCACCCCCGCCAUCUCCUUGGACCAUCCGUUGUAGUGGACAGCCCUGACUUCCAACCACUGAGCACUUUUUCUGCGGGCCAGAGCGUUACUGCCCACCCCCAGCCAGUGAGUGA
This is a long non-coding RNA of Aethalodelphis obliquidens (Pacific white-sided dolphin), 1408 nucleotides long. RefSeq lists it as uncharacterized. The record is from RefSeq and is a predicted model, not a curated record. The transcript has 3 exons. NCBI's taxonomy places the organism in Eukaryota, Metazoa, Chordata, Mammalia, Artiodactyla, Delphinidae.